UACGGAGGGUGCAAACGUUGCUCGGAAUUAUUGGGCGUAAAGAGCUCGUAGGCGGUUUGUCGCGUCUGCUGUGAAAACUCGGGGCUUAACCCCGGGCCUGCAGUGGGUACGGGCAGACUAGAGUGCGGUAGGGGAGACUGGAAUUCCUGGUGUAGCGGUGAAAUGCGCAGAUAUCAGGAGGAACACCGGUGGCGAAGGCGGGUCUCUGGGCCGUAACUGACACUGAGGAGCGAAAGCGUGGGGAGCGAACAGG
RNAcentral lists this ribosomal RNA (253 nucleotides) under uncultured bacterium. Its description in RNAcentral is "partial 16S ribosomal RNA". It matches the Rfam family "Bacterial small subunit ribosomal RNA", at positions 524 to 776 of the family's 1533-position model. The record is from RNAcentral.